GUGUGGAAUCUUAGACAAUGGGGGAAACCCUGAUCUAGCCAUGCCGCGUGAGCGAUGAAGGCCUUAGGGUUGUAAAGCUCUUUCAGAUGGGAAGAUAAUGACGGUACCAUCAGAAGAAGCCCCGGCUGACUCCGUGCCAGCAGCCGCGGUAAUACGGAGGGGGCUAGCGUUGUUCGGACUUACUGGGCGUACAGCGCACGUAGGCGGACCAGAAAGUCAGAGGUGAAAUCCCAGGGCUCAACCUUGGAACUGCCUUUGAAACUCCUGGUCUUGAGGUCGAGAGAGGUGAGUGGAAUUCCGGGUGUAGAGGUGAAAUUCGUAGAUAUUCGGAGGAACACCAGUGGCGAAGGCGGCUCACUGGCUCGAUACUGACGCUGAGGUGCGAAAGCGUGGGGAGCAAACAGGAUUAGAAACCCUGGUAGUCC
RNAcentral lists this ribosomal RNA (425 nucleotides) under uncultured bacterium. Its description in RNAcentral is "partial 16S ribosomal RNA". It matches the Rfam family "Bacterial small subunit ribosomal RNA", at positions 354 to 796 of the family's 1533-position model. The record is from RNAcentral.